Long non-coding RNA from Astatotilapia calliptera (eastern happy), 1732 nucleotides. The record is from Ensembl. Lineage: Eukaryota; Metazoa; Chordata; Actinopteri; Cichliformes; Cichlidae.
GGGUUUUGAGGUUGGACUUAAAAAGAGGGAAUGAGGUGAUGUUUCCGAGGUCUGCAGGAAUUCCAAAGUUGGGGGCAGAGCGGCUAAAAGCCCCCCAUAGAAACAAGACGAGAGGAAGGAAGAGAAAAAGAAAGAGAAGAGGAUGAUCGGGGGGCGCUGGAGUGGGAUGGUGAUCUGAACCAGAGAUGGUGGGGAGAGACAAUGAAUAGCUUUAAAUGUAUAAUUAACGUGAGAUUUGACCUGGAGCCAGUGAAGCUGCUUCAGAACAGGGUGGUGUGGUGGGUAGAGCUUUGCUUCUCAUCCAUAAACUCUCUCCAUCCUCUGUCAUGUGACUCUUGCGUAGGUGGCAGGAGAGGUUUGCCGUGUUUAGUGGGGGCCGGUUUUGCAGAGUACAGUUUUCUGGCCCGUGUCAGACUUUCUUGCUACAGAGCGAGCCCCUCGGUUAGGAAUAAUGUCCUGGAUUUGUUUUGGUCCUUCUGUUUGUCAUCAUUUCACUUUAUUUUACAAAAUCUCAACAGGAUCUUCAGCUUUAUUGUGAUUGUGGUUUAUUAUUUAUUAUUGUAGUUUAUGUGGAAAAUAAACAAGCGGACGGCAGAGCCACACGCUGGGGUUACCAUUGUUGUUGCUAACGACAACGCCUAAAAACAGUGGCGUGUCUGUCCACACUGUGGUUAUAUUAAAUAUAGGAGAAAGAAAGAACUGUAAAAAUGGAUGUAGCCACUCCAGUGACCAUCAAAACCAUGAAACAAACCGGAAACAGUUCACAUGGUGACACCAUGAAACAAACGAUCAUGUGUAAUAUGAAACAAAAGGCAUUUUCAUAUCAUCAUCAGAUAUAUAGCCUUAUAUCGAACUGCCCUAUCCACUGAAGGGCCAGGGUCCUGACACCAACAGUGACCAAUCACAUCAGGACCCUGGCCCUUCAGGCAAAGUGAUGUGCACAGGCUAAAAUGACCUUUGCUAGCAGAUUAACUGUACGAGCGUAGCACUGCUGCAGCGCGAGCAGAAGAGAGACCUCUGUGGGUUCUGGCUUCUCUGCACCUGGCUGCAGUGCUACACUGACUUUAUGCACGAGGAAUUUAAUUAUUUGUUGAAUUAUGUUUUUCUUGCAUGGCACUUAUGAUGUAAAGAUUAUUCCAUAUUUAACACUAAUUAAUGGAACAAGGAGCUCAGAGCUCAGCGCGUGAGGACAUGACCUGCCCGUGCAGGAACCAUGAAGACCUUCCUCUGAUGGAGGUUCAGUCAGCUUGAUGGGUCACAGACGAGGAGGAGGAGCUGGUGAUGAAGAGCAGCCUGUGUGUAUACAGUAUCUGUUGUGUAUUCAGCCCUGAGGAAGAUGAAGAUGCAGCUUUGCUUUGGCCUUCCUCUGCUAACAGCUAACAGCUAACUAACCUCAGUCAGAUGUUCUGCAGCUGUUUGUCUAACAUUAUAAUGAGUUUAUAAUGAUGAUGACCCCGAGCGUGUUUCUGCUGUGCUGAUGGAUCUCCACGGAGCGUCCUGUCACAUGUUAGCUUCAUGUGGGUCAAAGGUCAAAGCUGCUGACUGUCAGGAAGCAUCAAACAUCAUGAAAGACCCCCUCUGACCUCAGAGCUCCCUGAGGCCACACCCACACUUCCUGUCAGUGCCUGUGAUUGACAGCUGCCUCCGUCAGUAUCAUAUGUAUCCAUAUAAUCCCCCUGACGUCACUGAUGUUAGUGCUGUAUGAACCACAUUAAAUGUUUUUACUUAUUAA